CAUGUAUGGAUGUGUUAUGAGAUUCUAUGUUUUUAUGUGUUUUAUUCUUUGUUUUAUUAUCUUUUAAUAUUCAAGCAUAUUGUAAAGUGUUUAUAUAUUUCACAGAAUUUGCUGUACUUUCCCAUGUCACAAGAUUCGAUGUAUUGCUCCAUUGUCAUGCAACCCGACAGUGAACUCUGCAAUACAUAUAGUUUAAGCAGGAAACAGAUGCGGGUCACCCAGACUACAAUAGAAAACGGAUGAGGCACCUAAACCACAACAGGAAAACAGAUGCGCGACUCCCUAACCACAAAAGAUUAAGUCAGCGCCACGUCUUUUAGAAAGAAGCAGACACACACGCACAUAUACAACUGUUGGUCUAAAGGAAUUUGUAAAAGAGGAAAUGUGACGUAUUUGCAUACACGAUGUAAACUAUAAAUAAAGAGCCAUCGCCUGCACUCGGUGUGGGUCUCGCCAGAGUCCUCACCCGUGCGUGGGUCUCACCAGAGUCCUCACCCGUGCGCGGGGUCUCGCCAGAGGCCUCACGCAUGCACGUUGCUGUUAUUAUAUUCUAACUGUCUGAGUGUCUUUAUUCAACCUGAAGAAUGUCUUAUUAAAAAUAAACUCUUGACAUUUAAUUGGUCCUUCGAGCCGGAUGUAGGACAUCGAAUUAUAACUAAUUUUAUGCUCCAACGGAGUGACCUCGUCGUUUCCUGACAUCGUGGAGAGCCCGCGCUGAAGUCUGUCGACAGCCUCUUUCCUAUGAAGGAGAAAAGACCAACUACGUGAAUUCGGGGUUGGCCAGCGUUCUUAGUAAGAGGUCCACGAUCCUGGGGAACGAGGAGGAAUCUCUGACCGGCACUUAUAUCAUCAUAACCAGGUGAAUAUUAACACUCAAAGACACAUCGCAAAUAAUCGUCUUUUAGAUUGACACUUUUCUAAGGGAAAAACUCGUCCUGUAGGGACUGGCAGUUUAAAAAAAGACUCGCUUGUAAGACGAAACUGGCAGUCCAGAAGAGACUCGUUUCGCAAUAAAAAAAAGCUGGUAGUCGACAAAAUUUACUCCGGGAGUAAAUGGGAAAAGGAAAGUGUCAAUUAAAAUAGGAUUACACUACCGCGUAUGUGAAUUGUUUGUAUUUAAAAAGAGGAAGUGAGUGUCAUUUGAAGAGGGACAGUAGGACCCUACACCACUUCUAUUGUUUUCCUGUGUCGACUGAAAUACUGGUGAGGAAGGGAAAAGGUUGCGCUUC
Long non-coding RNA from Oreochromis aureus, 1229 nucleotides. The record is from Ensembl. Lineage: Eukaryota; Metazoa; Chordata; Actinopteri; Cichliformes; Cichlidae.